This 3332-nucleotide small RNA is filed under the name Pongo abelii (Sumatran orangutan). RNAcentral's name for it is "processed transcript". Lineage: Eukaryota; Metazoa; Chordata; Mammalia; Primates; Hominidae. The record is from RNAcentral.
AUGCGGUCCCGGGUUCUGUGGGGCGCUGCCCGGUGGCUGUGGCCCCGCGGGACCGUUGGCCCAGCCCGCCGGUCCCUGAGCUCCGGUAGCCCGCCGCUGGAGGAGCUGUUCGCUCGGGGCGGGCCCUUGCGGACCUUCCUCGAGCGCCAGGCGGGGUCUGAAGCCCAUUUGAAGGUCAGGAGGCCUGAGUUGCUGGCGGUGAUCAAACUGCUGAACGAGAAGGAGCAGGAACUGCGGGAGACUGAGCACUUGCUGCACGAUGAGAAUGAGGAUUUAAGGAAACUUGCAGAGAAUGAAAUAACUUUGUGUCAAAAAGAAAUAACUCAGCUGAAGCAUCAGAAGAAACAGAUGAAAAUGAUUUGAUCCUGGAAGUAACUGCAGGAGUUGGAGGUCAGGAGGCAAUGUUGUUUACUUCAGAGAUAUUUGAUAUGUAUCAGCAAUAUGCUGCAUUUAAAAGAUGGCAUUUUGAAACCCUGGAAUAUUUUCCAAGUGAACUAGGUGGCCUUAGACAAGCAUCUGCCAGCAUUGGGGGUUCAGAAGCCUAUAGGCACAUGAAAUUUGAAGGAGGUGUUCACAGAGUACAAAGAGUACCAAAGACAGAAAAGCAAGGCCGCGUCCAUACUAGCACCAUGACUGUAGCAAUACUACCCCAGCCUACUGAGAUUAAUCUGGUGAUUAAUCCGAAAGAUUUGAGAAUUGACACUAAGCGAGCCAGUGGAGCUGGGGGACAGCAUGUAAAUACCACAGACAGUGCUGUCCGGAUAGUUCAUCUUCCAACAGGUGUUGUUUCUGAAUGUCAACAAGAGAGAUCUCAGCUGAAAAAUAAAGAGCUGGCUAUGACAAAGUUACGUGCAAAACUGUACAGCAUGCAUCUAGAAGAAGAAACAAAUAAGAGACAGAAUGCUAGAAAAAUUCAGAUUGGAAGUAAAGGAAGAUCAGAGAAAAUAAGAACAUACAAUUUUCCACAGAACCGGGUCACAGAUCACAGAAUAAACAAGACACUGCAUGAUCUUGAAACUUUUAUGCGAGGAGAUUAUCUACUGGAUGAACUUGUACAGUCAUUGAAGGAAUACGCCGAUUAUGAAUCUUUAGUAGAAAUUAUUUCCCAAAAAGUUUAAGUUGAUUUGUUAUUUAUAGACUUUCGUAGCUUAGAAAAAUUCUACAGUACAUCCACAUAGGGUGAAAAUACCCUUAUUCUCUUAAAAAACAUGAGUUAACACAGUUGGAGGUAAUAUGCAUAUUCUGAAGUCAUAGAUAAUUUACACAGAUCUCUCUCAAUGCAUUAGCAAAAAUCAUACAAUAUACAGAUGGUCCUCAAUUUACAUUGUGGAUAAUUCCCAAUAAACCCAUCAUGGGUUAAAAAUGCAUAUAGCGUUAGCAACACAGCAGUCUCCUACUUAAUGACAGCUUGACUUAACAAUUUUCCAACUUUACCAUGGUGUGAAAGAGGUAUGAUUCCUAAGUCCUAAGGAGCUCCUCAGCUUGAAAUGGGGCUGCAUCCCUAUAAAACCCAUCAUAAAGUCAAAAAAUCCUAAAACAAGUUGGUGACCAUCUGUAAUCAUGACGUGGUGGUAAAUCUCGGACGCUUCCUUACAAUAAGUAGACAAAGGAAAAUCAUCCUUUACAGCCUACUCAGUGAUGGGGAAAUUCCCUGUCUUGCCCUGGGCCAGAGCUGGUGUACAGCUGGUGGAUCAGGUCUUACAAGCAAAGAACCUCACACUCUCGACUGGUAAGCCAGAAGCCUCUUGCUAGGGUGUGAGCAAAACUUGGACAGGAACUCUCAGUAGAUGUUUGUGUUUGUCAAGAUUCUCCAGACAAACUUCCUUAAAAGGAUUGGCUUGUGUUAUUAUUAAGUCUAACAAGUCCAAAAGCUGGAGUGUGAGGCAGGAGGCUGGAAACCCAGGAAAGCUGAUGGUGCAGGUCCAGUCCAAAGGUAUUUGUUGGAGGAUUCUCUUGUUCUGGGAAGAGGACGGUCUUUUUUUCUCUUCAGACCUUCACCUGACUGGAUCAAGCCCACUAACAUCGAGGAGGGCAGUCUGCAUUACUCAAGAGUUCACUGAUUGAUUUAAAUGUCAAUCUCAUGUAAAAGCACCCUCACAGAAACACCUAGAAUAAUGUUUGACCUUAUAAUUGGAAAAUCAGAGCAAAAGUUAAAUCUCUAAAAAAAAAAAGUAUGACCCAGUAGCUAGGAACCUGUGGCCCCACCAAGUUGACACAUAAAAUUAACUGUCACAGUAUCAUCUUAGAAGUGAAAGAAGCCCCUUUAUCCUGUAGUGCCCCUCUACCACCACCUACUGACAAAGAACAUGGUGCUAUCUGGCAUGGGAGAAAUGUUCAGUUUGCUAUGGCUUGUAUGUGUCCCCUCAAAUUCAAGUGUUGCCAAUGUGACAGCAUCAAGAGGUGGGGCCUUUAAGAGAUCACUAGGCCAUGAGGGAUUCUCUUAGGACUGGGAUGAAGGCCCUUAAUAAAAGAGGUUUCAGGGAGCAUCCUGCUAGCUUGCCUUCUGUAUGUGAGAACACAGCAAGAAAGCCCUAGUCAACAAGUGCCAGCUCCUUGAUCUUAAAGACUUCCCAUCCUCCAGAACUGUGAGAAAUACAUUUCUGUUCCUUAUAAAUUACCCAGUCUCCUGUAUUCUGUUAUAGCGGCACAAAAUGAAGAUACCAUACCUGAACACCUGAACAUUCUUCACAAGGUAGUAAAUGCACUGCUUUAUUCUGGUCUCAGUAUUGUGUGCUUAAUAACGAAAUGAGAAAGGGUGGAUCAGGGCAUAGGAUGAACAAGUUACUGCUAGACCUCUCACAAUGCCACUAAUGGAUAAGAUUGUACUUUCAUCAUUCUUGUCUCUUCGUUAGCUAACACCAUGCUAUAAUAGGCAAUAAAUAGAUGUCUAAAAACACCUUAAGUAUUUUUCUAGAAAUCUGGUGUAUUGUUCGAAAAGAACCAAAAUUCAACUUAAUUUCAAAGGGCCUGAAGCACUAGUUAAUCAAAAUUCAUUAGUUUUUAAUGGUACUACCACUCUCAAAUUUAAAAUGUCAUCUUACGUUCCUCUUCCUCGCAUUGGAUUUAUUGCUAAAACCUGGUAAACACUUUUAAUCUUUUUCAAUUCCAUUACCACUGCUCUUGUCCAGAAUUACUUCACAGACUACUUUAAUAGUCACCUGACUUCUCCCCUGCAUCCUAUUUGCUGUCUAAUUCUGGUUACAAAUAAGUAACUGCCAAACUAAUCUUUCUAAAAAGCAAGACUGAUCUCGUCACUCCUUUGCUCAACAAUGUAAAAGCUCCCAUUGUCUCCCAAAUAAAACCAGCUUUCCACUGUGUAUACAAUACAUCCA